Molecule: long non-coding RNA, 9486 nt
Organism: Ctenopharyngodon idella (grass carp)
Lineage: Eukaryota; Metazoa; Chordata; Actinopteri; Cypriniformes; Xenocyprididae
Exons: 3
Source: RefSeq, a predicted model, not a curated record
AGCAAAGGGACAAAGCCAAAAAUAUCAGACAGUGACAUUUUCUUUAGACUAUCAGGAACUGAUACUUGCACAUGUCAUGUGACUUGUGUGCAUUGUUUCCUCAUAGUCACAAUAUACAUCUUUGAGUCUUUUUCCCAAGGACACCAAUGCUGCUACUAUUAGGGUAUUCAGUGUAGGAUAGAUGUUGCUUUCUCACAAUGUUAAUUGACAUGAUGAAACCUGUGAAAAACAGAGUGACUUCAAAUGGAUGGAUGUUGAAAAUGCUGAUGUGAUAGUUUCAAAUCUGCACUCGUCAGCUACAAAAACUCAAAGAGACUCAGUCUAGUGACAGAAUGAAUUAACUACCUCAUAUUGACAAAUCCAUUGUUUUAUUUCAGCAAAAAUAUUAUUUAAUAAGUGUUCAUUUAAUUACUGAAAUUUUGCCAUAUAGGAAUCACUAUCGAACACUGAAAAACUCACAUGGUCAACCACUAAUUUGGCAAACACAAAUUUACUAUCUAGAGUUUUGAUAGAUGUGGUUUUUCACUGCGGUUGCAGAUUUGUAAAUAUAGAUACGAUCAAUACGAUUCAAUUUAUUGAAAGGAAAGGGGAUAUAUAUAAAUUCACAAACACAACUCUCCUUUAACCUACGCAGUGAAGAGGUGAACCAAACGCACAGUGGAAACUGACAUGAGCCGAUAUGAAUGGCCAAAAUUAGCCAAUGGCAAUGGAGAGUGGCAAAGAUAAUCUCCUGACCAAUAGAUAUGAUAUAGAUAUCUUGAGAUGCAUACAGAUGCAUAUCUUUGCAUGCAUACAGAAUCUCCAGCAGUUUGCUGUCUGAGUGCAGAAGGUGUCCAUAUAUGAACGUACAUGUGAUAAACACUGACAGAGGGGAUGGAGGUGGAGCAGAAGAGGACAAAAGCAGAAGUGAAAUCAGAGGGAUAUGACUAGCUAAAUAAUAAUAUACAAAUUAGUGAGGGAGAAACAAUAAUGACCGGAAAACACAGAUCGGGAAACCAGACAAACUGUUUAGAGGAAAAGCAAGGGACUUUUGCAAAUCAUCAGGAACUUUUUGACUGCUUUAAUAGUCAAGCUUGAAUUUGUUUGUGGGUUUUCAAAACUUGCCACACAUAAAAUAUACCAAGAGGAGAUUUAUAUUUAAUGAUAUGUAGAAUCUUGCUACAUUGAUAUCCACAAGAAUUUUACAGAGAAUAUUAAUGAGGUCACAUCUAUGGAAGCUUGUUUCCGCCACUGAAUAAAAAAACAAAAAAAAGUAAUUGUGACAUUUUCUUUCACAAUUUUGGCUUUUCUUGUGAGUUUAAAUCACAGAAUUGCCUGAUAAAAACUUGCAAUUGCGAGUUAUACAGUCAGAAUUGCGAGACAUAACUUGCAAAUGCGUGUUAUAAAGUCAGAACUGCGAGUUAUAAAGUCAGAAAUUUGUGAUAUAAACUCAAUUGCGAGUUAUAAAGUCAGAAUUGCAUGAUAUAAAAUCGCAAUUGUGAGUUAUAAAGUCAGAAUUGCGAGGUAUAAAGUCAGAAUUGCGAGAUAUAACUUGCAAAUGCGUGUUAUAGUCAGAAUUGCGAGAUAUAAACUCACAAUUGCGAGUUAUUAACUCACAAUUGCGAGUUAUAAAGUCAGAAUUGUGAGAUAUAGUCGUAAUUGCAAGUUAUAAAGUCAGAAUUUUGUGAUAUAAACUCAAUUGCGAGUUAUAAAGUCAGAAUUGCGUGAUAUAAAAUCCCAGUUGCGAGUUAUAAAGUCAGAAUUGCGAGAUAUAAAGUCGUAAUUACCAGUUAUAAAGUCAGAAUUUUGUGAUAUAAACUCAAUUGCGAGUUAUAAAGUCAGAAUUGCGUGAUAUAACUUGCAAAUGCGUGUUAUAAAGUCAGAAUUGCGAGAUAUAAGGUCAGAAUUGCGAGAUAUAAAGUCGUAAUUGCGAGUUAUAAAGUCAGAAUUUUGUGAUAUAAACUCAAUUGCAAGUUAUACAGUCAGAAUUGCGAGACAUAACUUGCAAAUGCGUGUUAUAAAGUCAGAACUGCGAGUUAUAAAGUCAGAAAUUUGUGAUAUAAACUCAAUUGUGAGUUAUAAAGUCAGAAUUGCGUGAUAUAAAAUCGCAAUUGUGAGUUAUAAAGUCAGAAUUGCGAGGUAUAAAGUCAGAAUUGCGAGAUAUAACUUGCAAAUGUGUGUUAUAGUCAGAAUUGCGAGAUAUAAACUCACAAUUGCGAGUUAUUAACUCACAAUUGCGAGUUAUAAAGUCAGAACUGUGAGAUAUAAAGUCAUAAUUGCAAGUUAUAAAGUCAGAAUUUUGUGAUAUAAACUCAAUUGCGAGUUAUAAAGUCAGAAUUGCGUGAUAUAAAAUCCCAGUUGCGAGUUAUAAAGUCAGAAUUGCGAGAUAUAAAGUCAUAAUUGCAAGUUAUAAAGUCAGAAUUUUGUGAUAUAAACUCAAUUGCGAGUUAUAAAGUCAGAAUUGCGUGAUAUAACUUGCAAAUGCGUGUUAUAAAGUCAGAAUUGCGAGAUAUAAAGUCGUAAUUGCGAGUUAUAAAGUCAGAAUUGCGAGAUAUAAAGUCGUAAUUGCGAGUUAUAAAGUCAGAAUUUUGUGAUAUAAACUCAAUUGCAAGUUAUAAAGUCAGAAUUGCGUGUUAUAAAAUCGCAAUUGUGAGUUGUAAAGUCAGAAUUGCGAGAUAUAAAGUCAUAAUUGCAAGUUAUAAAGUCAGAAUUUUGUGAUAUAAACUCAAUUGCAAGUUAUACAGUCAGAAUUGCGAGACAUAACUUGCAAAUGCGUGUUAUAAAGUCAGAACUGCGAGUUAUAAAGUCAGAAAUUUGUGAUAUAAACUCAAUUGCGAGUUAUAAGUCAGAAUUGCGUGAUAUAAAAUCGCAAUUGUGAGUUAUAAAGUCAGAAUUGCGAGAUAUAACUUGCAAAUGUGUGUUAUAGUCAGAAUUGCGAGAUAUAAACUCACAAUUGCGAGUUAUUAACUCACAAUUGCGAGUUAUAAAGUCAGAACUGUGAGAUAUAAAGUCAUAAUUGCAAGUUAUAAAGUCAGAAUUUUGUGAUAUAAACUCAAUUGCGAGUUAUAAAGUCAGAAUUGCGUGAUAUAAAAUCCCAGUUGCGAGUUAUAAAGUCAGAAUUGCGAAAUAUAUAGUCAUAAUUGCAAGUUAUAAAGUCAGAAUUUUGUGAUAUAAACUCAAUUGCGAGUUAUAAAGUCAGAAUUGCGUGAUAUAACUUGCAAAUGCGUGUUAUAAAGUCAGAAUUGCGAGAUAUAAAGUCGUAAUUGCGAGUUAUAAAGUCAGAAUUGCGAGAUAUAAAGUCGUAAUUGCGAGUUAUAAAGUCAGAAUUUUGUGAUAUAAACUCAAUUGCAAGUUAUAAAGUCAGAAUUGCGUGUUAUAAAAUCGCAAUUGUGAGUUGUAAAGUCAGAAUUGCGAGGUAUAAAGUCGCAAUUGCGAGUUAUAAAGUCAGAAUUGCGUGAUAUAAAAUCCCAGUUGCGAGUUAUAAAGUCAGAAUUGCGAGAUAUAAAGUCAUAAUUGCAAGUUAUAAAGUCAGAAUUUUGUGAUAUAAACUCAAUUGCGAGUUAUAAAGUCAGAAUUGCGUGAUAUAACUUGCAAAUGCGUGUUAUAAAGUCAGAAUUGCGAGAUAUAAAGUCGUAAUUGCGAGUUAUAAAGUCAGAAUUGCGAGAUAUAAAGUCGUAAUUGCGAGUUAUAAAGUCAGAAUUUUGUGAUAUAAACUCAAUUGCAAGUUAUAAAGUCAGAAUUGCGUGUUAUAAAAUCGCAAUUGUGAGUUGUAAAGUCAGAAUUGCGAGAUAUAAAGUCAUAAUUGCAAGUUAUAAAGUCAGAAUUUUGUGAUAUAAACUCAAUUGCGAGUUAUAAAGUCAGAAUUGCGUGAUAUAACUUGCAAAUGCGUGUUAUAAAGUCAGAAUUGCAAAAUAUAAAGUCGUAAUUGCGAGUUAUAAAGUCAGAAUUGCGAGAUAUAAAGUCGUAAUUGCGAGUUAUAAAGUCAGAAUUUUGUGAUAUAAACUCAAUUGCAAGUUAUAAAGUCAGAAUUGCGUGUUAUAAAAUCGCAAUUGUGAGUUGUAAAGUCAGAAUUGCGAGUUAUAAAGUCAGAAUUUUGUGAUAUAAACUCAAUUGCGAGUUAUAAAGUCAGAAUUGCGAUAUAACUUGCAAAUGCGUGUUAUAAAGUCAGAAUUGUGAGAUAUAAAGUCGUAAUUGCAAGUUAUAAAGUCAGAAUUUUGUGAUAUAAACUCAAUUGCGAGUUAUAAAGUCAGGAUUGCGUGAUAUAAAAUCCCAGUUGCGAGUUAUAAAGUCAGAAUUGCGAGAUAUAAAGUCGUAAUUACCAGUUAUAAAGUCAGAAUUUUGUGAUAUAAACUCAAUUGUGAGUUAUAAAGUCAGAAUUGCGUGAUAUAACUUGCAAAUGCGUGUUAUAAAGUCAGAAUUGCGAGGUAUAAAGUCAGAAUUGUGAGAUAUAAAGUCGUAAUUGGCAGUUAUAAAGUCAGAAUUUUGUGAUAUAAACUCAAUUGCGAGUUAUAAAGUCAGAAUUGCGUGAUAUAAAAAUCUUAAUUGUGAAUUGUAAAGUCAGAAUUGCGAGGUAUAAAGUCGCAAUUGCGAGUUAUAAAGUCAGAAUUGCGUGAUAUAACUUGCAAAUGCGUGUUAUAAAGUCAGAAUUGCGAGAUAUAAAGUCAGAAUUGCGUGAUAUAACUUGCAAAUGCGUGUUAUAAAGUCAGAAUUGCGAGAUAUAAAGUCAUAAUUGUGAGUUAUAAAGUCAGAAUUUUGUGAUAUAAACUCAAUUACGAGUUAUAAAGUCAGAAUUGCGUGAUAUAAAAUCGCAAUUGUGAAUUGUAAAGUCAGAAUUGCGAGGUAUAAAGUCGCAAUUGCGAGUUAUAAAGUCAGAAUUGCGUGAUAUAACUUGCAAAUGCGUGUUAUAAAGUCAGAAUUGCGAGAUAUAAAGUCAGAAUUGCGAGAUAUUAAGUCAGAAUUUUUUUAUAUAAACUCAAUUGUGAGUUAUAAAGUCGCAAUUGCGAGUUAUAGUCAGAAUUGCGAGUUAUAAAGUCAGAAUUGAAAAAUAAACUCGCAAUUGAGUAAUAAAUUCAGAAUUACGAGAUAUAAAAUCACAAUUCUGAUAAAAAAAAAAAUUUUCCUCAGAAUUGGACUUUAGAACUUGCAACUGCGAGUUUACAUCUCACCUUUUUAUAUCUCAUUUAUAUCUCAAUCUUACUAGGCAUACUAGAAACUUCCAGGCAAGUUGGAGCUAACCUCUGCAGGCCAGUGGCCCUCCAAUCAAGUUUAACAUGAAAUCAGUACAAAACACAUUUCACAUUCAAAGAUCCAGGUAUUUCCCAGUGUGAACACAUCUGGUCUGUUCAUCUAAAAAAGGAAGUUGCAUAAGGAUUCUGCUUUCUGCCACAGACCGAAAUGCACAGAAUGAUCUAAGAGUUGUUGCAAUCGAUUCACACUCAAUUCAUGUGGUGCAUUCAUAAAUGACUCAUUUAUAACUGAAAAAAGACAGACAGAACAAAAACCUGGCUCAAGAAACUAUCAAAGAUGAAAAGGCAACCAUUAACGUCAACUUUCAAAUAAAAAAAAAAAAAAUCAAGCUUUUCAGCAGGAAACGCACAUUCUAAGAUAAUCCCGCAGAUUAGACGUUACGAAAAACGACUGCAUCAUCUCUAAAACCACUGACGUCCUCUCAGACAAAUGACAAACACUUAAGAUGUUGAGAGGAAAUUGCUGAGGUGUGUUACUGGGAAACGACCCACAUUUACAGGCCAGCAGACUUCCUUCAUGCAACAGUGAGCUUCACUGAAGAACAGACCCGGAGUGCUUAUCUUUACAAUAUCAGUGUCCUUGUAAGUCAGCUAAACAAGUAAAAGGCGGUCUCUUAGCUGAUUACAGUGGCAAAACAUUUAAACAUUGCAUGCAAAAUGCACACACGUAUUUUGUUAAAAAGACUAAAAUGCUGUAUGUAACCUACCAAAAUCAGUGCGUAAUCUUUAAUAAAAAUGAAUCACUAUAUCUGUUUACUAUUUAAGCAUGCUUUUUAAUCUGGCCUCCAGCACAUUUUCCCAUGGCCUACAGAUCCUGCAAGUGGAAUUACAACACGUACAGCAAGUGGAACCUGCAGUGUAACUUUUUAAAAGGUUGCCUUAUUGAAACUAUAGAAAACAAGGCUGGUUGACAACACUUCAUUAGCAUGCUCACUUGACAGUCCUUUGUUACAUGGUAAAGUACGCGGAUGUGUUCUAGUUAAGAUGUGAUAUACGUGAACUCCCCACCCUCUCAAUCUAGACCACAAGAGCUACUUGACAUUACACUGAAUGACUGUAUUUUACAAUCUAAUGACCUGCCAAUCUAGACACAGCACUUGCAGUAGUGGUUAUCGUCCUAUGAUGCCCAAACUGCACACUUGGUUUUGAGAUACUUAUAAUAGAUAAAACUGCUGUGUAGGCCAGCACACUUUUAUUUAGCCUAGGACACCAUAUAUGCAGCUCAUUAGGUUUUUCUAAUUUAUUAUGUUCAAAAAUACUGUCUAGAUGGGUAGCUGUAGGCCAAUGACGGCCAAAAUGUUUUAAGAUACCUAUGAUGCUCAAGAAUGUAGUUUGGGUAUCUAGUUUUGCCCAUGUUAUGCAGUUCACUAGUUUGCACAGUUUGUUUUGGCAAAGGCUUUUGGCAAACGUAGGCAGUACAUUAUGUUUUAUUAUGCUCAUAUAUGCCGUCUAGGUAGGCAAGUCACUAGGUAUUUCCAGUGUUGGGCACGUUACUUUAAAAAAGUAAUUGAGUUAGUAAUUAACUAAGUUAGUAACUGAGUUACAUCAUUAUAAAAGUAACUAAUUACCAGGGAAAUUAACUAUUGCGUAACUUCUUUUUUUUUCAAAUAUGUCAAAUAACUUGGAUGCCCCCAAUAUUAAAUAUAAGUCUUAAAAUAAAUUACUCUUGAUCCGACUCGUGACUCACGACAUGAAAUUUCUCUGUACUGUACUACGUGUUGGUAGCCAUAAAUAUGAAACUACGUUUUCUUUAAUGUGUAAAUAGUUUUAUGUUCAGUUUUAAAUUCAUCUAUUUGAUUAUGAAAAGUGAACAGCACGAGUAAGACAGAAUACAUCAUAAGAUGCGCAAUAUAUCGGGAGACAUGCAGUGGGUCAGACAUGAUUUUGACCACUUCAUUAAGUUUUGUUUUGUAGAAAGCCUUUCUUUAAAGUGAAUUUCGUUUUUGUAAAAAUUGUAUCUUAAUUUUAAUCAAUGGUUCACCAACCAAUUACCUGGAUUUAAUAAAUAAGAAGCAAAUAUAGCAGACAAUAUAAUCAUGACAUGGAGGCGCCGGCGCGAUCACUUGCACGUGAACUGGAGCGCGUCUUAUAGGCUAAAUGAACCGAAACUCACCGUAUAGGCUGCUUGCCUCACAGACAUGAGAAAUAUAUCUAUAGAAAGCUUGAAAUGUCUACUUUUAAAAAGAAAUAAUUCAAAACUAAAAGAAAUAGGCUACUCUCUGAUUAUGUAAUCCGAAUGAAUUGUGCAUUCUAUUUCUAAGUGCGUCCACAUGCGGAGAUGAUGAGAGUCAGUUAUGUCAACUUCAUCUUUGCAGCCGACAUUGAUUCAGAAAACAUUAGUUUAUUAAUAAACAAUUAAAUGUGUUUUUGCCACAUUCAUAAUCAUUACUUUUGCCGGUUCUUUAUGGCAAGCUUUGUGCGCUUGAGUGCUAUAUAGCCUAUAUUACGUAAACGCUCAUUAUUAUGGUUUAUUCUCUCCAGUAUUUAAGAAAUUAAAUUAAUACAAAUGUGAUUAGUCAACUAAUGGCUUAAAUGAACAACUAGGCUACUAGUCGACUAGAAAAAAAACUUUUCACAUAUUUUCGAUCCAGCAUGUCAGAAAGGGUAUUCUGGUUUGAGCUCGCGCUCCACUCGCAUGAUCUGACACAGACACACACACACAUUAUUAUCAGUUUAAAAUUAUAUUUGUAUAUAACGCUGUUACUAACGCUGUUUAUUUAUAACGACGUUAUUCCCAUCACUGGGUAUUUCCCAUGUCCAUCAUUCCCAAAAAUACCGUCUAGGUUAGCAGCUUGGUGAGUUUUGCAUAUGUCCACAAUAACAAAAAAUUCAGUCUAUAGAGUUGUGCUUAUACCCAAGAUACUUAACAUUUUGUCUAAAUAGGCAGCACACUAUGUUUUAAGAUACCUAUAAUGCUAAAAAUGCAGUUUGGCUAGGCAGUUCACUAGUUUUGCCAGUGUUGUGUGCUUAAAUGUACACACUUGUUCUGAGAUACUUAUGAUGUCCAGGUCACUUUGAUUUGCCAAAGACACCCAAAAAUGCUGUAUAUAUAGGCAGUAUAUUAUGCUUUAUGUUGCCCAAAUAUGCUAUCUGGUAGGCAGGUCACUAGGUUUUUUCCCCAAAAAUACCAUCUAGGUUAGCAGCUUGCUGAGUUUUGCAUAUGCCCAUGAUGACCAAAAAUUCAGUCUAUAGAGUUGUGCUUAUACCCAUGAUGCCUAAAAUUUUGUCUAAAUAGGCAGCAUACUAUGUUUUAAGAUACCUACGAUGCUAUAUAAAAAAAUAAAUUAAAAAAAAGCAGUUUGGCUAGACAGUUCACUACAAUGUAAAAAAUUAUUUUCAUGAUUUGUUAUCAUAACAUUUUUUCUUUUGUCAAAUCAACUUAAUUAAUGUGGUUCAGAUAACAUAAUAUUUUGGGUUUCUGUUGUUUGAAUCAAUCGCCUUCAUUGUAUUAACUCAAAUUUUUAAUUUCAGUGAACUCAAUUUUUUCAAAAGGCAAACAAGUAACUUACUUUUUUUAAGUUAAACCAACAAUUCUUUUUUUACAGUGUAGUUUUGCCCAUGUUUUGUGCGUAGGCACACUUGUUGUGAGAUACUUAUGACGUCUAGGACAGGUUACUUUGUUUUGCCAAAGACACCCAAAAAUGCUGUAUAUGUAGGCAGUAUAUGAUGCCCAAAAGUGCAAUCUAGGUAGGCAGGUCACUAGUCUUUCUCAUGUCCAUCUUUCACAAAAAUACCAUCUAGGUAAGCAGCUUGCUGGGCUUUAGUGAUGACCAAAAAUACAUUCUAAGUAGAGUGGUGCCCAAGAUUCCCAAAAUACAUGCUUAAAUAGGCAGCACACUAGGUUUAGGAUGCCUAUGAUGCCCAAAUUAAAAAAAAAAUCAAGGCAUGUAGCUCAUUAGGUCACUAUGACACCCACAAUGUUGUCUACGUAGGCAGCACACUAUGUCCAAACAUGCAGCCUAGGUAGACAAUCUAUGUUGCCUAUGCACGUGAUGCCCAAAACAGUAGGCAGCUCACUAUUUGAGACAUAACCAAGCACGCAACCUCGGCUGGAAAUUCCAACAGCAAAAGAGCAAAACAUAACUGAAAAUAAAUAUAUCUUUCAUUUACGAUACACAUUUAGAACCCGAGAAUAACAUUUCUUUUUCGUUUAGUGUUUUUCAAAAGUAUAUUUUCACGUCUAUCAAAUACACUUGUGAAAGUCUUAAGUAUAAGAAUGAAUCAUUACAUUGUGUUUGUCAGCAACACAUAUAAACCUGCU